This 233-nucleotide unclassified non-coding RNA is filed under the name Hevea brasiliensis (rubber tree). Lineage: Eukaryota; Viridiplantae; Streptophyta; Magnoliopsida; Malpighiales; Euphorbiaceae. The record is from RNAcentral.
GUGGUAAAUUUCUACCGCUUUGUUUUUAUUGAAGACCCAGAAGAGGAGGUCAGCAAACACCUUUCCUUUUUGGAGGGAAGAGAUAUCCAUGGUCGCAUUUAUUUGAACAAACAGGGAAUUAAUGCACAGUACAGUGGACCAAACAAAGAUGCCCUUGCUUAUGUUAAGUGGGUAAGGGAGGACUGCAGAUUUUCUGAUGUUCUUGUCCAGAUCUCACCAUCAUCUAAUGCGCA